GUUGCAAUUAUCCGUCAUCCUCGUCAUGGUGAAUAUGCAUUUGGUUUCAUCACAUCUUCUGUUGUCCUUCAGAGAGAAGAUGGAGAUGAAGAGUUAUGCAGCGUUUAUGUUCCAACAAACCAUUUAUACAUUGGUGACAUAUUUCUGGUCAAUUCUGAUGAGAUCAUAAGACCAAACUUGUCUAUUCGGGAAGGCAUAGGUCUGGUUAUUCCUUUUAACUUUAAUUCCAUUGUUGUGAGCUGUGUUUUUAGUUUCCUGUUCCUUUUUUCCCUUGAUGAUGUGCUUAAUUAAAAUGAAAAUAUAUUUGAAUUAUAACUGCUAUAAGAUAUAAAAUUUGCUGAGAAAUUGAACCCUAGUUGAUAAGGAAGAAGGGCCUCUUGGAUUUAGGAAAAACUAGGCCUAGAUUCAUUUAAAAUUGGCUCACACUUAUACAUGUGCAUACAUAUGAGAAAAAAGAAAAGGUCUUCAAAGUUCAAACAUUCUUUCUGUGGCAAACCUAAUCACUUUCUCUCAUCACUUCUUUGUCAAUCGUCUGUAAAUCUAAAUCUUCCUUUACUCUCUUCACUGUCUCUAUAACAAAAAAUGCUCUUUUCAUUGCCCCCACAACCAAACCCUUACUUCCCUUUCAUCAAAUCCCAAAUGGCAAACCCGAAAACCCUCAAGGAAAUAAAGUCCUCAAAACUUAAAAAGGCACCCAAAUCAGAACAAAGUCUGCAUUUCAUUGGUGGUAUUGCUCGGGAUGCCAUAAAGGGGAUUGAUGACAUUUUGUAAUUUGGGGUUGUGAGAAAGAAAGCAACUUGUGGUUUCAAAUGCUUUGGCUUUGUUAGUUUUGCUGAACUUUCCAUCUUUGGUAGGGUUCUUUAAGAUAAGCAUGUCGUUGAUGGUAGAAUAGUGGAAGUUUUUUUAACUAUUAUGUUGGUGACGAUUUUUUGUUUUCUUGGUAAUAUUAUUUGGUGUUUAUGAUCCAAUUUGCUAUUGUUUUUGUUAGUGGUCGUUGGAUUAUGGGUUGUUGUCCAUUUUGCUCUAUCUCAAUCUCCUUAUUUGUUUAUUUCUCUUUGGUGUUGCUUUUAUUGAGAGUCAUUGGUUUAACUACUUUCUAGUCCUAUUUGAGUUCAUGGGAUUUGCACUAACAGCUGAUUGGGAUGCCACAAUAGCUCUCCAAUAAGACUUGUCAGAAUCUAUCAACAAUUACUCGAUUGAUGGAUUGCUAAGUAUAGUGCUACAUUUGAACAAAAAAUUUUCAUGACCACUAUAAAACUUCUGUGAUGGGUUCAAAGAUCAUUGGUGAAUUUUACCCCAUAAUCAACAACAAUAGUUACUAGAAAGCUCAUAGGGCAUCAUACGAUAACCAUAUUCAGAAUGAGUUAAAAAGUAAAUUAAUAACUUGCUGCCACUUCUGCUAUUUGCUACAGCUUAAAGCAAAUUAUAGUUUCCUAAAGGAGAUUGUAUUUAUCUCCUGCAUGUCAGAUAUACAUACCAGGAAGGAAGAUAAGAUGUUGCAAUAGCAGAGGUCGGUAUAUUCUGAAGUAUAUAAGUAUAUAGACAUGCAACUCUCAAAUUAAUGAAACUUUAUGAAGUAUUGAAAUAAAUUAGGCUUCCUGUAAAAAGUAGAAACAUGGUUAUAUUGAGAGAAAUUCUGCUGAGGGCUUUGACUGGUUUCUGACACAAUUAUUUAAACUGGCCUAAUUUAGGAAGCCAUCAUGCCUUUAUGGUGUGCCAUGCAAUCCCUUUUUUUUUUGGGUUGCAUAACUGUUUGAGCUAGUUUUGCAGUAUUGAAUUCUGUUAACCCCAGCUGCUUUGCUUUGUAAUACAGAGAUCAUUGUUUCAGUUGGGAUGACAAUGCCACAAUUGAUAUCUUCUAUAGAAAGGAUUCCUCAUCAGAGCAAUAGGAUCCCUCUUAGCAGAAUUAUAUGAAGGAAUGGUUGACAAUCCUAAAGGUGACAAAGAAAGUCACAUUGUGUUUUCCUUGGCCAGAUCUAUUUUUUUAGAGAUUUAGUUGGUCAGAGAAUACAGCGCACAUAUGGAAAGGUGAAACCAUGUAAACUCGGUAUGACAACACAUGUAUAUUUCAUCUUAUCGAUUUGCUAGUGUAAGAAAGUGCUGGGUACCCCAGUUUGACUCUGGAUAAAGGCAGUCAUAUUCAUAGAAUGUGCCAAAUAUCCACUUCUAUUCUGUACAAAGGUCACAAGAAAUGCCACACACUUCUUUUAUUUUGCAUAAAGAUUCACCCCCUCUAUAUGUUUCUGUGGUGACUUUGUGUGCCAAAUUACAUACCGACACAGAUUUCUUUAUUGAAGGUUGGUGAUUUUUAAUUGCUACCUGCAAUGAAUCUUGAACCGAUGAUACAAGCAGAUGUUACCUAACUGUUUAGUGUUUACCAGACAAUCUUGAACAGGCACAGUUAGGUGUUGAAAACCUGACUGUUUACCAGAAUUUCUGUUCAUCCUUCUUUCACUAUAAUACUCUUGAAACGCUAUAUUCAUGAAAUGAUGUUAGAAACUGUGUACUAGUGAAUAAUUUCUUGUCGCUGAAAAAGGUGAUCCUGCUAGUUAUGAUGGACAUUCUAGGAACAAUAAUGGUAUAGUGCUAAUUACAAUGGAAGUGGUUUCAUUUCAUGAUCCCAAAUCCCAAGCUAGUGAAGUUAUUUCCCUUAAACUCUUCUGAUGCAAUUUUGAGUUAAAAUA
This 2684-nucleotide unclassified non-coding RNA is filed under the name Hevea brasiliensis (rubber tree). Lineage: Eukaryota; Viridiplantae; Streptophyta; Magnoliopsida; Malpighiales; Euphorbiaceae. The record is from RNAcentral.